GAAUUUUGGACAAUGGGCGCAAGCCUGAUCCAGCAAUGCCGCGUGCGGGAAGAAGGCCUUCGGGUUGUAAACCGCUUUCGUCAGGGAAGAAAUCUCCUGGGCUAAUACCUCGGGGGGAUGACGGUACCUGAAGAAUAAGCACCGGCUAACUACGUGCCAGCAGCCGCGGUAAUACGUAGGGUGCAAGCGUUAAUCGGAAUUACUGGGCGUAAAGCGUGCGCAGGCGGUCUUGCAAGACAGAUGUGAAAUCCCCGGGCUCAACCUGGGAACUGCAUUUGUGACUGCAAGGCUGGAGUGCGGCAGAGGGGGAUGGAAUUCCGCGUGUAGCAGUGAAAUGCGUAGAUAUGCGGAGGAACACCGAUGGCGAAGGCAAUCCCCUGGGCCUGCACUGACGCUCAUGCACGAAAGCGUGGGGAGCAAACAGG
This 425-nucleotide ribosomal RNA is filed under the name uncultured bacterium. RNAcentral's name for it is "bacterial SSU rRNA". It matches the Rfam family "Bacterial small subunit ribosomal RNA", at positions 359 to 776 of the family's 1533-position model. The record is from RNAcentral.